Molecule: ribosomal RNA, 656 nt
Filed under: Xylodon ovisporus
Lineage: Eukaryota; Fungi; Basidiomycota; Agaricomycetes; Hymenochaetales; Schizoporaceae
Description: partial large subunit ribosomal RNA
Rfam family: Eukaryotic large subunit ribosomal RNA
Source: RNAcentral
UAACAAGGAUUCCCCUAGUAACUGCGAGUGAAGCGGGAAAAGCUCAAAUUUAAAAUCUGACAGUUUCACUGUCCGAGUUGUAAUCUGGAGAAGCAUUUUCCGUGUCGGACCGUGUACAAGUCUCUUGGAAUAGAGCGUCAUAGAGGGUGAGAAUCCCGUCCAUGACACGGACUACCGAUGCUUUGUGAUAUGCUCUCGAAGAGUCGAGUUGUUUGGGAAUGCAGCUCAAAAUGGGUGGUAAAUUCCAUCUAAAGCUAAAUAUUGGCGAGAGACCGAUAGCGAACAAGUACCGUGAGGGAAAGAUGAAAAGCACUUUGGAAAGAGAGUUAAACAGUACGUGAAAUUGUUGAAAGGGAAACGCUUGAAGUCAGUCGCGUUGAUUGAGACUCAGCCUUGCUUUGCAUGGUGUACUUCUCAGUUAACGGGUCAACAUCAAUUUCAGUUGGUGGAUAAAGGCAUUGGGAAUGUGGCACCUUCGGGUGUGUUAUAGACCUUUGUUGCAUACACUGACCGGGAUUGAGGAACGCAGCACGCCACUAAGGCCAGGGAUUCGUCCCAUGUAACGUGCUUAGGAUGUUGGCAUAAUGGCUUUAAGCGACCCGUCUUGAAACACGGACCAAGGAGUCUAACAUGCCUGCGAGUAUUAGGGUGGAAAA